GAUGAACGCUGGCGGCGUGCCUAAUACAUGCAAGUCGAGCGAACAGACGAGGAGCUUGCUCCUCUGACGUUAGCGGCGGACGGGUGAGUAACACGUGGAUAACCUACCUAUAAGACUGGGAUAACUUCGGGAAACCGGAGCUCAUACCGGAUAACAUGUUGAACCGCAUGGUUCAACAGUGAAAGACGGUCUUGCUGUCACUUCUAGAUGGAUCCGCGCCGCAUUAGCUAGUUGGUAAGGUAACGGCUUACCAAGGCAACGAUGCGUAGCCGACCUGAGAGGGUGAUCGGCCACGCGGGAACUGAGACACGGUCCAGACUCCUACGGGAGGCAGCAGUAGGGAAUCUUCCGCAAUGGGCGAAAGCCUGACGGAGCAACGCCGCGUGAGUGAAGAAGGUCUGCGGAUCGUAAAACUCUGUUAUUAGGGAAGAACAAAUGUGUAAGUAACUAUGCACGUCUUGACGGUACCUAAGCAGAAAGCCACGGCUAACUACGU
This 496-nucleotide ribosomal RNA is filed under the name uncultured bacterium. RNAcentral's name for it is "partial 16S ribosomal RNA". It matches the Rfam family "Bacterial small subunit ribosomal RNA", at positions 28 to 506 of the family's 1533-position model. The record is from RNAcentral.